RNAcentral lists this ribosomal RNA (486 nucleotides) under uncultured bacterium. RNAcentral's name for it is "partial 16S ribosomal RNA". It matches the Rfam family "Bacterial small subunit ribosomal RNA", at positions 30 to 507 of the family's 1533-position model. The record is from RNAcentral.
AUUGAACGCUGGCGGCAUGCCUUACACAUGCAAGUCGAACGGCAGCACGGGUGCUUGCCCCUGGUGGCGAGUGGCGAACGGGUGAGUAAUACAUCGGAACAUGUCCUGUAGUGGGGGAUAGCCCGGCGAAAGCCGGAUUAAUACCGCAUACGAUCCACGGAUGAAAGCGGGGGGCCUUCGGGCCUCGCGCUAUAGGGUUGGCCGAUGGCUGAUUAGCUAGUUGGUGGGGUAAAGGCCUACCAAGGCGACGAUCAGUAGCUGGUCUGAGAGGACGACCAGCCACACUGGGACUGAGACACGGCCCAGACUCCUACGGGAGGCAGCAGUGGGGAAUUUUGGACAAUGGGCGAAAGCCUGAUCCAGCAAUGCCGCGUGUGUGAAGAAGGCCUUCGGGUUGUAAAGCACUUUUGUCCGGAAAGAAAUCCUUGGCUCUAAUACAGUCGGGGGAUGACGGUACCGGAAGAAUAAGCACCGGCUAACUACGUG